CACAGUCCCACGAGGACUGCUGAACAUGGUCUUUCUUUACUAAUGAAUAGAAGCACACAUGCUGUUGCAUGCAUUACCCUACAGUCUUAUAACUAUAUGAAAGUCUCAGUGGCAUCCACAUAUCAGUUUUUACCAGUUAUACUUGAAAAAUGCUUAUUCUCAUACAGGCCAACCACCUUUAUUUCCAUUUACUUCAUGGUAAGUUCUCAAUAACACCAAAAGCACUUAUAAUAUUUUAGCCGGGCAUGGUGGUAUUUGCUUAUAAUCCCAACAUCUUGGGAAACUGAGGCAGGAAGAUUACAAAUUCAAAGCCAGCCUCAGCUACUUAGCAAGGUCCUAAGCAAAAUUCAAAAAAUGGGGCAAUGGCUCAGUGGUUAAGUGCCCCUAGUACCAAAAUAAAUUAAUUAAAAAUUUAAAAAGAAUAUUUUAGCAUAAUUUUGGUAUAUUUAAGAUAUAAUCAUUUAUAAAUAAUUUUAAUUUUAACUGAACACUUAUUAGUGAUUUAAAACAGGAACUUUAGUAUCUUUUUUAUAAAUUUAUUCUGAUUAUGUGUAUAUAACAGCAGAAUGCAUUUUGAUUCAUUGUACACAAUUGCAGUACAACUUUUCAUUUCUCUAAUUGUACACCAUGUAGCAUCAUACCAUAUGUGCAGGCAUACAUGUUCAUAGGAUAAUAAUGUCCAUCACAUUCUACCAUCUUUCCUGCCCUCACACCCGCUCUCUUUCUCUCCCUCCACUUUGGCCAAUCAAAGUUCCUCCUUUUGUCCCAUCCCCCCCCCAUACCCACCAUUAUGAAUCAGCAUCCACUUAUCAGAGAGAACGUUCAGCUUUUGGUUUGGGGGGAUUGGCUUAUUCCCUCAGCAUGAUAUUCCCCAACUCCGUCUAUUUACCUGCAAAUACCAUAAUUUUAUUCUCUUU
Molecule: long non-coding RNA, 917 nt
Filed under: Marmota monax (woodchuck)
Lineage: Eukaryota; Metazoa; Chordata; Mammalia; Rodentia; Sciuridae
Source: RNAcentral